AACGGCGUCGAGCGGCGGACGGGUGAGUAAUGCCUAGGAAAUUGCCCUGAUGUGGGGGAUAACCAUUGGAAACGAUGGCUAAUACCGCAUGAUGCCUACGGGCCAAAGAGGGGGACCUUCGGGCCUCUCGCGUCAGGAUAUGCCUAGGUGGGAUUAGCUAGUUGGUGAGGUAAGGGCUCACCAAGGCGACGAUCCCUAGCUGGUCUGAGAGGAUGAUCAGCCACACUGGAACUGAGACACGGUCCAGACUCCUACGGGAGGCAGCAGUGGGGAAUAUUGCACAAUGGGCGCAAGCCUGAUGCAGCCAUGCCGCGUGUGUGAAGAAGGCCUUCGGGUUGUAAAGCACUUUCAGUCGUGAGGAAGGUAGUGUAGUUAAUAGCUGCAUUAUUUGACGUUAGCGACAGAAGAAGCACCGGCUAACUCCGUGCCAGCAGCCGCGGUAAUACGGAGGGUGCGAGCGUUAAUCGGAAUUACUGGGCGUAAAGCGCAUGCAGGUGGUUUGUUAAGUCAGAUGUGAAAGCCCGGGGCUCAACCUCGGAAUAGCAUUUGAAACUGGCAGACUAGAGUACUGUAGAGGGGGGUAGAAUUUCAGGUGUAGCGGUGAAAUGCGUAGAGAUCUGAAGGAAUACCGGUGGCGAAGGCGGCCCCCUGGACAGAUACUGACCCUUCAGAUGCAUGA
This 679-nucleotide ribosomal RNA is filed under the name Vibrio parahaemolyticus. RNAcentral describes it as "bacterial SSU rRNA". It matches the Rfam family "Bacterial small subunit ribosomal RNA", at positions 84 to 758 of the family's 1533-position model. The record is from RNAcentral. Lineage: Bacteria; Pseudomonadati; Pseudomonadota; Gammaproteobacteria; Vibrionales; Vibrionaceae.